AUUGAAGCAUAUAUUUUCAACAUUUUUAUGCAAAUUUAGGAAGCCCAUUUGUAAAGUUUACACUUACGACUUUCAUCUAAAUGCCUAAAUCUUGUGAAAAGUCUUAAAUACCAUUUAUGAUCAUUAUAACAACAUUCUUCAAGACACACGUUGAGCUUGAGAUGCGUCUACAAUCUUCUUAUUUAUAGAGAAUCAUUGUAUCCUUAUGUCCGGCUGCAGGCUGGAAUCAUAUUGGUAUUUUUCAUCAUAGCUAAGUAAUCUAAUUUUCAUUCCUCCAUAUCACUUUCUCAAAGAGUUGCUCAUUUUUCAAAGAGUGCUGUGCUUUCAUUUUUUUUUUCGCCAAGUUUAAUAUGUAUGAAUUUGCUUAUUCUUUGAUUUUGAACUGCAUGCUGUGACUAUUUCUCUACUGAUCUAUGGUGUCUUUUCAACCUCAAUUUCAGUUAUGGGGUUCUUUUCUUGUCUCA
RNAcentral lists this unclassified non-coding RNA (464 nucleotides) under Hevea brasiliensis (rubber tree). Lineage: Eukaryota; Viridiplantae; Streptophyta; Magnoliopsida; Malpighiales; Euphorbiaceae. The record is from RNAcentral.